CCUACGGGAGGCAGCAGUGAGGAAUAUUGGUCAAUGGGCGCGAGCCUGAACCAGCCAAGUAGCGUGAAGGAUGACUGCCCUACGGGUUGUAAACUUCUUUUAUAAAGGAAUAAAGUGAGGUACGUGUACCUUUUUGCAUGUACUUUAUGAAUAAGGAUCGGCUAAUUCCGUGCCAGCAGCCGCGGUAAUACGGAGGAUCCGAGCGUUAUCCGGAUUUAUUGGGUUUAAAGGGAGCGUAGAGGGGUUGUUAAGUCAGUUGUGAAAGGUUGCGGCGCAACCGUAAAAUUGCAAUGGAUACUGGCAGGCUUGAGUACAGUUGAGGUAGGCGGAAUUCGUGGUGUAGCGGUGAAAUGCUUAGAUAUCACGAAGAACUCCGAUUGCGAAGGCAGCUUGCUAAACCGGCACUGACAUUGAUGCUCGAAAGUGUGGGUAUCAAACAGGAUUAGAUACCCCUGUAGUC
This 460-nucleotide ribosomal RNA is filed under the name uncultured bacterium. Its description in RNAcentral is "partial 16S ribosomal RNA". It matches the Rfam family "Bacterial small subunit ribosomal RNA", at positions 338 to 795 of the family's 1533-position model. The record is from RNAcentral.